This 438-nucleotide ribosomal RNA is filed under the name uncultured bacterium. RNAcentral describes it as "bacterial SSU rRNA". It matches the Rfam family "Bacterial small subunit ribosomal RNA", at positions 958 to 1392 of the family's 1533-position model. The record is from RNAcentral.
AACGCGAAGAACCUUACCAACUCUUGACAUCCUCAUUGGGGAGAACAGAGAUGAUCUCUUUCAGCUCGGCUGGAUGAGUGACAGAUGCUGCAUGGCUGUCGUCAGCUCGUGUCGUGAGAUGUUGGGUUAAGUCCCGCAACGAGCGCAACCCUUGCCAUCAGUUGCCAGCAGGUUAAGCUGGGCACUCUGAUGGGACUGCCGGUGACAAGCCGGAGGAAGGUAGGGAUGACGUCAAGUCAUCAUGGCUCUUACGAGUUGGGCUACACACGUGCUACAAUGGCGCCUACAGAGGGCAGCGAGAUAGUGAUAUCGAGCGAAUCUUAAAAAGGCGUCUCAGUUCAGAUUGUACUCUGCAACUCGAGUACAUGAAGUUGGAAUCGCUAGUAAUCGCGGAUCAGCGUGCCGCGGUGAAUACGUUCCCGGGUCUUGUACACACCG